AUGAACGCUGGCGGCGUGCCUAAUCCAUGCCAGUCGAGCGAACAGAUGAGGAGCUUGCUCCUCUGACGUUAGCGGCGGACGGGUGAGUAACACGUGGAUAACCUACCUAUAAGACUGGGAUAACUUCGGGAAACCGGAGCUAAUACCGGAUAAUAUAUUGAACCGCAUGGUUCCAUAGUGAAAGACGGUUUUGCUGUCACUUAUAGAUGGAUCCGCGCCGCAUUAGCUAGUUGGUAAGGUAACGGCUUACCAAGGCAACGAUGCGUAGCCGACCUGAGAGGGUGAUCGGCCACACUGGAACUGAGACACGGUCCAGACUCCUACGGGAGGCAGCAGUAGGGAAUCUUCCGCAAUGGGCGAAAGCCUGACGGAGCAACGCCGCGUGAGUGAUGAAGGUCUUCGGAUCGUAAAACUCUGUUAUUAGGGAAGAACAAAUGUGUAAGUAACUAUGCACGUCUUGACGGUACCUAAUCAGAAAGCCACGGCUAACUACGUG
This 496-nucleotide ribosomal RNA is filed under the name uncultured bacterium. RNAcentral's name for it is "partial 16S ribosomal RNA". It matches the Rfam family "Bacterial small subunit ribosomal RNA", at positions 29 to 507 of the family's 1533-position model. The record is from RNAcentral.